Molecule: transfer RNA, 72 nt
Filed under: bacterium (Candidatus Gribaldobacteria) CG10_big_fil_rev_8_21_14_0_10_41_12
Lineage: Bacteria; Candidatus Gribaldobacteria
Description: tRNA-Gln
Rfam family: tRNA
About the family: Transfer RNA (tRNA) molecules are approximately 80 nucleotides in length. Their secondary structure includes four short double-helical elements and three loops (D, anti-codon, and T loops).
Source: RNAcentral
UGCGGGAUGGUGUAACGGUAACACAUUUGGCUUUGAACCAAAAGACUCUAGGUCCGAUUCCUAGUCCCGCAG